RNAcentral lists this ribosomal RNA (420 nucleotides) under uncultured bacterium. RNAcentral describes it as "bacterial SSU rRNA". It matches the Rfam family "Bacterial small subunit ribosomal RNA", at positions 356 to 773 of the family's 1533-position model. The record is from RNAcentral.
GAGGAAUAUUGGACAAUGGGUGAGAGCCUGAUCCAGCCAUCCCGCGUGCAGGAAGACGGCCCUAUGGGUUGUAAACUGCUUUUAUACAGGAAUAAACCACCUUACGUGUAGGGUGUUGAAGGUACUGUAUGAAUAAGCACCGGCUAACUCCGUGCCAGCAGCCGCGGUAAUACGGAGGGUGCAAGCGUUAUCCGGAUUUAUUGGGUUUAAAGGGUCCGCAGGCGGACUGAUAAGUCAGGGGUGAAAUCCGGCAGCUUAACUGUCGAACUGCCUUUGAAACUGUCAGUCUUGAGUAAGAAUGAAGCAGCUGGAAUGUGUGGUGUAGCGGUGAAAUGCAUAGAUAUCACACGGAACACCGAUAGCGAAGGCAGGUUGCUAAUUCUUUACUGACGCUGAGGGACGAAAGCGUGGGGAGCGAAC